GAUGAAGAACGUAGCGAAAUGCGAUAAGUAAUGUGAAUUGCAGAAUUCAGUGAAUCAUCGAAUCUUUGAACGCACAUUGCGCCCGCCAGUAUUCUGGCGGGCAUGCCUGUUCGAGCGUCAUUUCAACCAUCAAGCCCCAGGCUUGUGUUGGGGACCUGCGGCUGCCGCAGGCCCUGAAAACCAGUGGCGGGCUCGCUGUCACACGGGGCGUAGUAGAUUUUAUCUCGCUCUGGGCGUGCUGCGGGUUCCGGCCGUUAAAAAACCCUUUUAACCCAAGGUUGACCUCGGAUCAGGUAGGAAUACCCGCUGAACUUAAGCAUAUCAAUAAGCGGAGGA
RNAcentral lists this unclassified non-coding RNA (336 nucleotides) under soil metagenome. RNAcentral describes it as "partial contains 5.8S ribosomal RNA, internal transcribed spacer 2, and large subunit ribosomal RNA". The stretch from base 1 to 120 matches the Rfam family "5.8S ribosomal RNA", at positions 35 to 154 of the family's 154-position model. The record is from RNAcentral.